UUUAAUAUGGCAGAAUAGUGCAAUGAAUUUAAGAUUCAUUUAUGAAUAAAAAUAUUCUAUUAGAA
Molecule: transfer RNA, 65 nt
Filed under: Atkinsoniella sulphurata
Lineage: Eukaryota; Metazoa; Arthropoda; Insecta; Hemiptera; Cicadellidae
Also listed under: 1 other name
Description: tRNA-Leu
Source: RNAcentral